GACAAUACAAAGGGUAGCGAAACCGCGAGGUCAAGCAAAUCCCAUAAAGUUGUUCUCAGUUCGGAUUGUAGUCUGCAACUCGACUACAUGAAGCUGGAAUCGCUAGUAAUCGUAGAUCAGCAUGCUACGGUGAAUACGUUCCCGGGUCUUGUACACACCGCCCGUCACACCACGAGAGUUUGUAACACCCGAAGCCGGUGGAGUAACCAUUUGGAGCUAGCCGUCGAAGGUGGGACAAAUGAUUGGGGUGAAGUCGUAACAAGGUAGCCGUAUCGGAAGGUGCGGCUGGAUCACCUCCUUUCUAAGGA
Molecule: ribosomal RNA, 308 nt
Filed under: Staphylococcus sp. HMSC078A08
Lineage: Bacteria; Bacillati; Bacillota; Bacilli; Caryophanales; Staphylococcaceae
Description: partial 16S ribosomal RNA
Rfam family: Bacterial small subunit ribosomal RNA
Source: RNAcentral